Scylla paramamosain (green mud crab) is the source of this 1316-nucleotide long non-coding RNA. RefSeq lists it as uncharacterized. Lineage: Eukaryota; Metazoa; Arthropoda; Malacostraca; Decapoda; Portunidae. The transcript is spliced from 2 exons. The record is from RefSeq and is a predicted model, not a curated record.
AUACAAAUUAUUUCUGUAUAUUGCUCGUUUCAUAUUUGUUUGUUUCAUAGUAUUUGCUCGUUUCAUAUGAUAACUACCUAGGAAUAAUGAGUGUUAAUGAGUGUUUCAUUUGUGUAUGAAUCCCUCGAGCGGUAAACCGAGGGAAGGUAGCUCAGGGAGGGAGGUCAAGCCGGCAUUCUAUCUGUGCUAUAGCAGCCGCACACACAUUGUUGGAUUUAAACCUGUGGAGUUAUUUCCUGUGAGCGCCAGAGAUUGUUGCUGGCGUGGUGGCGGACUCCUCCCCUCACACCGCAGCUGGAUGCCUGGAACACAAGCCCCGCACAGCUCUCCACGUACCGGCUCGUUAGCACCACACUAAACCAACCCAGAACCUGAGCCUGAAAAUUGGCCUUCCACUCUUCCCUCUCGCAACAUUUUAUUUCUUUCUCUCAUUUGUUCUUCCCUUUCAUUCUCCCACUCUGCUCUUCUUCGCUCUUCCGUGUUCUUUUAAAUCAUGACAUUUGAAUUCCUCUUGUCUGUUCGAGUGAAGCAAAUAGGACUUUGCUUCGUUCAGAGUUCAAGUACUAUAGGGUUGUACCAUUGCCAACAAAACCUUUUUCGCCGUGCUUUUAUCAAGAGAUCUCAAAAUUUCCGUGGUAUUAUUCAUUUCAGCUUAGGCUCCAGCACACUUGAACGCUGUAGGCUCCAGCACACUUGAACGCUGUAUGGUUUCAGUGCAAGACAAAUGAAGCUAUCUAUCUAGUUGCUAUCGGAUAUAGUUUUUAAUCAGCAGGAAGCAGAAAGCAAAGGUGAAUGAGUGAAAAGUGAGAAAAAGAUAUCUUUCCUUGAUCAGAACAACUUAAUACGUUUUCUUCCCCAAAUCGUCUUCAGUUACACAAGACCUCUAACCUAACCCUACAAACAAUGACGAAACAUUCUGGCAAUAAAAAAAGGAAAAGCAGCGUUUCAACACGUCCUGAGAGCAAGACAGAUCCUGGAGGGCUGGACUCGACUGGACUCAGCUCUCUGGACGUCUCUUACUCCUCAACAAAGCGAGGCGAGGCAAGGCGACCAGCGGGGCUCAUAUACCCGACCCCGCCAUUCAGGGGAAAGCCUCCUGAUCCGCUCUGACCGCCUCACGCACUUGCACCGGCUAAGGCAAAGCAAUAAAAGGAAGCAAAAGGAAGACGAUGCUGCUGCUAAACUCAGGAUGAAACUGACCGCACAGAUAUAUCUUCUUCUUUACUUCCCACGACCUGGACACAUUUCUAAAAGGCAAGGCAAGGGAAGGUGAACUGAAGCGAAAAGAUGAAAAUAAGUAAAGGGAGAGAAGUGUA